CAUUACAGGCGUUUAGCAGACACUCUUAUCCAGAGUGACUAACACAACUUUACACAUCGCAUUUACACUGCAUCCAUUUAUACAGCUGGAUAUAUACUGAAGCAAUGCAGGUUAAGUACCUUGCUCAAGGGUACAACGGCAGUGUCCUAACCAGGAAUCAAACCUGUGACCUUUAGGUUACAAGCCCAGUUCCAGAAGGCCGUAAAAUGGCAGUUUGACCAAUCAGAUCAUCUUGUGUCCGUUCUGUUACUCCUGCACCCUCCUGGUCUAGAUCACUGCUCACGACACAGUCUCGACAAAUCAGUGAUCGUGCGAAUGUUGGUUCAUUUUUAAAUGGAAUCCGCUUUGAAUUUAACUUGAAAAUUAAGAAAAUUGUAAUUGUAAUCUUGAUCGGAAUAGAUUAUAUUGAUAAAAUAUAUCUGAAUAAUUGUUGUAAUUUAAAAUGUAAAAUGCUUUAUUUUUGAACUGUUUGACAACAAUGAAUAAAAUGUUUAAUUUUA
Long non-coding RNA from Anguilla rostrata (American eel), 500 nucleotides. RefSeq lists it as uncharacterized. The record is from RefSeq and is a predicted model, not a curated record. The transcript has 2 exons. Lineage: Eukaryota; Metazoa; Chordata; Actinopteri; Anguilliformes; Anguillidae.